GAUGGAUCCGCGUCCCAUUAGCUAGUUGGAGGAGUAAUAGCCCCCCAAGGCAACGAUGGGUAGCCGGCCUGAGAGGGCGAACGGCCACACUGGAACUGAGACACGGUCCAGACUCCUACGGGAGGCAGCAGUGGGGAAUAUUCCGCAAUGGGGGCAACCCUGACGGAGCAACGCCGCGUGAGGGAAGAAGGCCUUCGGGUUGUAAACCUUUGUUCUAUGGGAAGAAAGAAAUGACGGUACCAUAGGAGGAAGCCCCGGCUAACUACGUGCCAGCAGCCGCCGUAAAAC
RNAcentral lists this ribosomal RNA (288 nucleotides) under uncultured bacterium. RNAcentral's name for it is "partial 16S ribosomal RNA". It matches the Rfam family "Bacterial small subunit ribosomal RNA", at positions 224 to 526 of the family's 1533-position model. The record is from RNAcentral.